RNAcentral lists this unclassified non-coding RNA (381 nucleotides) under uncultured bacterium. RNAcentral's name for it is "contains 16S-23S intergenic spacer region". The record is from RNAcentral.
UCCCGGUUACCCGGGCAGUUCCCGAAGAGUGCCCGACUUGACGCUGGCAACAUCGGAUGAGGGUUGCGCUCGUUGCGGGACUUAACCCAACAUCUCACGACAUGAGCUGACGACAGCCAUGCAACACCUGUCUUGGGGUUCCCCUUGCGGGGCACAGGGAGCUUUCACCCCCCUUCCCCAGAUGUCAAGCCUGGGUAAGGUUCUACGGUUAGUGACGUAUUAAUCCACAUGCUCCGCCGCUUGUGCGGGCCCCCGUCAAUUCCUUUGAGUUUUAGCCUUGCGGCCGUACUCCCCAGGCGGGGCACUUAAUGCGUUAGCUGCGGCACAGAGACCGUGGAAUGGCCCCCACACCUAGUGCCCACCGUUUACGGCUGGGACUAC